CUGUUGAGUCGAUAGUCGCACGAGUCGUUCUUCAGCAGGCCUUGCUGAUGACUCAAACCAUCAUGGACAGAUGCCAUUGUUAUUUCAAGAAAUCUAUCUACUACCACAAAUAACGACAAAAUAGGAGAACAGCAUUGUAUAUUACAAAGGGCUUCCAAAGUCUUUGGAUCUUCUAAAAUUUGUGCAUGAAACUUGCAACGCCCAAAUAAAUAUAUUCCUCACUGAAGCGUAUCAUCCUCCACCUUCUCCUAUGCUGAAAUGGUUUGAAGACCACCAAGACAUGCUAACACUCACAUAUUAUAUUAUUCUUCCUCUUACUUAUUCACCGCUUUCCAUCACAAACACAAUUAUUAAUGAGUCGUUAUUGUUUCAAACACUUUUACCCUAAACUGCUGUACUUAAGCUAAUUUAACAGUUAUUCACCUACGACUCAUCAUGCCAAUAUUAACCGCCACAUUUCAUGUUUGUGUCACUUUAAUUGCACUCAAACGAUCAUAAUCCUCGUCGCCUCCAUAUACAUACACCCCAAUAUCAACUCAAUACUAUUCCACUCAAACCACCUUGUAAUGUAAUUCACCGUACCCCAUAGCAAUUUUGCUUGCAUUCUCACAUGCAUACAUCAUCGCACAUUGUCAAACACCUGGCUAGCGGGAGCAACCCGCCAACACGUCCGCUCUCCAUCGCAUCCCGAACCAGUCUUGAAGAGUUGAAUACAUCUGUGAAGGAAAAUGAAGAAGACAUCAACAAAACUGAAUUGGACGAAAAUGGAAACAAUUGAAAAAAGAGCGAUUGUGGAACUCAUCAAGAAAAAGAUGUUGAAAAUAUGGAAAUUGCAGCACAAAAAGAAGAAAAUAGAAAUUUCGAUAUUGAAAAUCGUAGCACAUGGCCAAUUGACAGAACACAACAUACAGUAAAUUUAUUGCUUUAGCAUGCUUCUGUACAGUUUAUUCGAUUUCACUUCCCUAAGAACGAAAAUAACAGGAGCACUUCUGCAACAUAUUUUACAAGAGUACUGACUAAUGGACAAAGCACAACACAAAGAUGGCUAAUUUAUUCCAAAUCUAAAGAUAAGGUUUACUGUUUCGCUUGUAAAUUAUUCUCCACUACUGAUAUUUAAUUGAGGACAGACAGAUUUUGCGAUUGGUCUCAUUUAUCACAGCAAAUCAAAAUGCACGAGCGAUCUGCGAUACAUUUACGAGCUAUAAACAAGUGGCUUCAAACUGAACAAAAUUUUCGUACUGACAAUCUACUUUGUAAAGAGUGCGAAAAAUUUUUAAAACUUGAAACGGUACGAUACGAACAAGUUUUCCAAAGAAUAACUGCUAUUAUUUUGUAUUUGGCGCAACAUAAUUUAGUUUUUCGAGGAAGUUCCGAUACUUUGUUCACACCGCACAAUAGUAAUUUUUUGGGUUUAAUACAAUUAAUUGCAAAAUUUGAUUCUGUUCUAAAUGAUCAUUUAAACUGAACAACCAUAAAAGGGCAUCCUUAUUUAUCGCAUUCAAUUCAAAACGAAUUAAUAAGUGCAAUGGCAAAUAAAGAACAAAAAGUAAUUAUCGAUGCAAUGAGGAGAGCAAAAUAUUAUUUCAUUUUAUUGGAUUAUACACCAGAUGCGAGCCAUCAAGAGCAAUUAACGGUUGUUCUUCGUUAUGUCGUAGCGUAACAGACGAGGAGGUUGAAAUCCAGGAACAUUUUAUCAAAUUUGAAAUAGUUCACGAUACAACAGGAAAAGGACUAUCUGAAACUAUCAUGCUCAUUAUGGAUUAGUUGGGAUUAAUAAUAUCCGAUUAUCGCGGACAAGGAUAUGAUAUGGGUGCCAAUAUGAGGGAAAUAUAUCAAGGAGUACAAGCAAACAUAUUACGUGUAAAUCCUAAAUCGUUUUAUGUACUAUGCUGUAGUCAACUUGAAUUUGUUAUUGGGAGAUAUAGCAAAAUCACCAACCCAAGCACUACAUUUUUUGGGUGUUUUCCAAAAAAUUUACACGAUAUUUGUAGCAUCGCGUUAAGAUGUUCUAAAAAAACACGUUGAAAAAUUACACCUAAACCAUUAUCAGAAACUAGGUCUGGAUAAGCCAAGAGAGAUUUUCAUCUCUGGCUAUUCUAUCAAUAGAAAGUGAAGUUGCAAAUUUAAUUUAUUUUGAUGAUGUUAUGAAAGAUUUGGCGUCGAAAAAAAGCGACAAAAAUUAUUUAAUGUUAUUAUUGGAUUGUAUUAUUAUUUAGUAUUCACCUUAUA
Bombus pyrosoma is the source of this 2229-nucleotide long non-coding RNA. RefSeq lists it as uncharacterized. The record is from RefSeq and is a predicted model, not a curated record. The transcript is spliced from 4 exons. Lineage: Eukaryota; Metazoa; Arthropoda; Insecta; Hymenoptera; Apidae.